UUGUAAUAUUUUCCCUCAUAUUCAGACAGAACAAAAACUCUAAGCAAGAAAAAUAGUAUAAAAUACCUCCCACCACCAAUUAUGGAAACCAAGGGUAGGUCCACAUUCUAGGAGGUGGAAGCAACAUGGAAGAGAAUAUCAAGAUGGUAAUAGCAUACAGGGAGCCGUAGCUCUCUAUAAUGAUCCUUCCGCAGGUUCACCUACGGAAA
RNAcentral lists this unclassified non-coding RNA (209 nucleotides) under uncultured fungus. RNAcentral's name for it is "sequence contains ITS1". The record is from RNAcentral. Lineage: Eukaryota; Fungi.